Molecule: ribosomal RNA, 496 nt
Filed under: uncultured bacterium
Lineage: Bacteria
Description: partial 16S ribosomal RNA
Rfam family: Bacterial small subunit ribosomal RNA
Source: RNAcentral
GAUGAACGCUGGCGGCGUGCCUAAUACAUGCAAGUCGAGCGAACAGACGAGGAGCUUGCUCCUCUGACGUUAGCGGCGGACGGGUGAGUAACACGUGGAUAACCUACCUAUAAGACUGGGAUAACUUCGGGAAACCGGAGCUAAUACCGGAUAAUAUAUUGAACCGCAUGGUUCAAUAGUGAAAGACGGUUUUGCUGUCACUUAUAGAUGGAUCCGCGCCGCAUUAGCUAGUUGGUAAGGUAACGGCUUACCAAGGCAACGAUGCGUAGCCGACCUGAGAGGGUGAUCGGCCACACUGGAACUGAGACACGGUCCAGACUCCUACGGGAGGCAGCAGUAGGGAAUCUUCCGCAAUGGGCGAAAGCUUGACGGAGCAACGCCGCGUGAGUGAUGAAGGUCUUCGGAUCGUAAAACUCUGUUAUUAGGGAAGAACAAAUGUGUAAGUAACUAUGCACGUCUUGACGGUACCUAAUCAGAAAACCACGGCUACUACGUG